GAUGGCAAAGGAUUAAAAAGUCAACAUUUGUGUUUGAAUUACAGAUGACUAUAUACAACAAAUGACAUUGUAACAGGCAGAUAACAGAUACAUUGGGGCGACUCAAGGAGUGCAGCAGUCCCCGUCCACUUUUUUUAGUGCCCUUGGUUUCCUAUGGGGAUUUUUAGUUCUCGUUAAAGAAUUAUAAGCUAUGAAACCUAUCAGGUGAUUCAGAACAUUACAAACUUUGAUUUGAAUAAAGAAGUCUUUGAAAAUCGGACAAAAAGACAAAGGUACCAGACAGCUUUCAUAAGAACAAGGAAUACAAUCGCAACUACAAUCAAAUUAAAAAACAAUGGAGAAAUAUAAGACUGUAGAAGGGGUCUUUUUGGUGCAAUUUUCUUCGUGAUUCUCUGAUUGGUGAAAAUUUCUGGUGGAAGGAAUCAUGGGUAAUGUAGUUUUUCACUAGGAAUUCCACUAAUAAACGACAAAGGCAUCUCAUAUAUGCUAAUACAUGAGGUUAACAACAUACCACCAAAUGCCAUCAAUUAACAACCUCACAGUAGAUCUGUUUUUAGCAGUUCAUAACUUAAAAUCAUUAAAAAUCAGUUCCCCGUGGAGAAAGUAAAUUGGGAUUUUUAUUUUGACUCUUGCUCUCUAUAACAGGUUGUUUAGCAACAAAUAACCAAUCAUAACCCUGAAUAGCGCCUGCUUCAUUAAAUAUUUGGGAGUUUAGUACAGUCACAGAAACUCUUGCAUUGUAUUUAAUUUCAACGUUUGAGGGAAAAAUACAUAGUUCAAACAGAAAUGAAUGGAAAAUGCAUUGAUAACAUUGCAGAAUAGACCAAAUUAUUCUUACAAAAAGCCUAUUCCGGACAGAGUGGAUGGUGCAUUGAGGAACGAGACGAGUCGAUAUUUAAACGCUGUGUUCCUCCAAUCAAUAUCGACAAAUAUCCAAAAAAGAAGGUUAACCCAGAGUUUACAAAUGUAGAUUCUAAAUAAACAGGGUUUCAGGCUAAAGUCUGAACAGUACAAAACAUGAAAAAAGAUAACCGAAGGUUUAGAUUUAGAAUGGGUUAACAAUUUUAAGUGCAAAAAGUCAUACUGUAUCAGCUGUCAGUUUUUUCCCCAUCAUUUUUUCUGUCUUUUUUUUUUUCUAAACAAAAAUUACUCCAAAGGCCUAAUACAUGGUUAGAUGAACGGACUCUAAACAUCAUCAAAACUAGUUUGAUUUUGGAACCUUUAAUACAUUUCUUAAACUGAAAAACAAAUGUAAAUGUAAUGUAGAUGACCUUUAAAACAGACAAAAAUGCAUAGCUAAAAUAUUCAACAGAUCGCAAGAUCUGGAGAGUGUUGAUGAAUUGGCUCUGAAAAUAGAGCCUCUAAUGUAUUAUACAGGUGAAGGAGGUGGGAAUGACAUGAGAGAAUGUCCAGAUGGAAAAUAGAAAUGCUAAUAUAUCACGAGCAAAGAAAUGCAAAAUGGAGUGAACAGAUGUUUCACUCAGAGAGGUAUGAAGGGCUCCAAACAGGCGGACACACAAAACUAUAAUGUUCCUGGAGCAUAGGUACAAAAUGUCCGACAAAAUGUAACGAAAGAUUAAACCGUCUUGAAAAAGCAGGCUUGAAAAGGCAAAACAAUGCAUGCUAGUAUUAUCAUAGCACAAGGAAAAGCAUAGGUGAAUAUUUGAAUAUGAUGGCGAUCAUGUAAUUUACCAACCACACGAUUGUCUGCUAAAUUAUAUAUAUAGACUAUAAAAGAACAAAUAAAAAACACUCAACAGCAUCAUUUUCCAGUCCUGACGUCAAAGCUAAGUGCUGCUUCAGUACAUGGAAAAGGUAUUUUUAUUUUAUUUUUAGUUUAAAGAUUACUUUCACAAUAACUCUGAUACUAAGCUCUAAAUGUCUACCUGAAUGAUGAUCCCAGUAAGAAAGAUGAGCUUCUAAUCACAUUUAUCUUCUUUACAUCAAACAGGUUAUGAGCCAAAAAUGUCUUGCAAGAAAUCAUGCGGGCUUACAAACAUCAUAGACACAUUGAAAACAUAAAUUCAAUUGAAAAUGGUUUUGCUUUAUACUAUUGGUGUGUGUCUCUGAGUAAGUCUAUGUUGCUUUUAUUAAAGACUCACAGUAGAAACAGCAAAUAACUUAUUAUAUUGAUUUACUAUUUGUUAAAACUGGCUUUGUCAAUCGUAAUUUCAAAGAAAUAAUAGCUUAGAAUCACAGCUCAGGAGCUUCUGUGUGUAUAAGAGGUUGAUUAUCACUUCAUUUAAUUGUAAUAUUAUAGUUAUUGUGCUGGUGUUGCUAUUUAACUAAGUACUUUUUUAUAUAAUAAGACUCAUGUUUCUAGGUAAUUGGACAAUCUGGACUCAAACAUGCCUUUGGAUUUGCUAAUGAGCAGGAUGCGAGGUAGACUACCGAUUGACUUGGUUGAGGAAAAUGUUUGUAACAUGGAGGUAGAGGAAGAUUCAACUUCACACUACUACAGGAGAACAACUACAGAGUAAAACCAAGACAAACAUUCAUCCUGAGUCUGCUGUGCGCAUCUGUGUGUAAUGGUGUAGAACUUCCUCAAUGCCUAGGGCUCGCCGAAACCAGAUGCCUUGUCCUUCAGCAGAUCAAGACACAGAUGACAACUCCAACUUCCUUCGGAUGUCUGUGUCAU
Sinocyclocheilus grahami is the source of this 2638-nucleotide long non-coding RNA. RefSeq lists it as uncharacterized. The record is from RefSeq and is a predicted model, not a curated record. The transcript has 3 exons. Lineage: Eukaryota; Metazoa; Chordata; Actinopteri; Cypriniformes; Cyprinidae.